RNAcentral lists this ribosomal RNA (253 nucleotides) under uncultured bacterium. RNAcentral describes it as "partial 16S ribosomal RNA". It matches the Rfam family "Bacterial small subunit ribosomal RNA", at positions 524 to 776 of the family's 1533-position model. The record is from RNAcentral.
UACGGAGGGGGCUAGCGUUGUUCGGAAUUACUGGGCGUAAAGCGCACGUAGGCGGCUUUGCAAGUCAGAGGUGAAAGCCCGGGGCUCAACCCCGGAAUUGCCCUUGAGACUGCAUCGCUAGAAUUGUGGAGAGGUAAGUGGAAUUCCGAGUGUAGAGGUGAAAUUCGUAGAUAUUCGGAAGAACACCAGUGGCGAAGGCGACUUACUGGACACAUAUUGACGCUGAGGUGCGAAAGCGUGGGGAGCAAACAGG